UUUAUUGUUAUCAUUAUUUGUGAUAACAACAUAAGACCUGCACUCUUAGCAAAAUUUUGAGUACACGAUAUGGUAUUAUUAACUAUAGGCACUAUACUGUACUGUAGAUCUCUAAGGACUUAUUCAUCUUGUAACUGAACUUUGUGCCCUUUGAUUAAUACCUGUCUGUUUCUCCCUACUCCCAGUCCCUAGGAACCGCCGUUCUGCUCCAUUUCUAUGAGUUUGACUAUGUAAGUGAUAUCAUGUAGUAUUUGUCCUUUUGUGUCUAGCUUAUUUCUCUUAGCAUAAUGUCCUCCAGGCUCAUCCAUGUCCCAAUGGCAUGAUUUCCUUCUUUUUCUAAGGCUGAAUAAUAUUUCAUUUUAUGCAUAUACCACAUUUUCUUUAUUCAUCCAUCAAUGGCUAUUUAGAUAAUACAAGCAAGUGGGACUAUAUCAAACUAAAAAGUUUCUGCACAGAAAAGGAAACAAUCAACAAAAUGAAAAGGCAACCUAUGGAAUGGGUGAAAAUCUUUGCAAAUCUUUUUUUUUUUUUUUUAAGAUUUUAUUUAUUUAUUUGACAGAGAGAGAGACAGCCAGCAAGAGAGGGAACACAAGCAGGGGGAGUGGGAGAGGAAGAAGCAGGCUCCCAGCGGAGGAGCCUGAUGUGGGGCUCGAUCCCAUAACGCCGGAAUCACGCCCUGAGCUGAAGGCAGACGCUUAACCGCUGUGCCACCAAGGCGCCCCAAAAUCUUUGCAAAUCUGAUCUGAUAUGGGGUUCAUAUCCAAAACACAUAAGAAACUUCUAUAGCCUAAUAGCAAAAAACCAAAUCACCCCACUAAAAAGUGGGCAAAGAAUUGAAGAGAUAUUUUUCCAAAGAAGACAUCCAGAUGGCCAAUGAGAAGGUAUAUGAAAAGGUGCUCAACAUCACCAGUUAUCAGGGAAAUGCAAAUCAAGACCACAAUAAAAACAACUCAAGACUGUGAUGUCUGCGUGCCCACACGUGUUCUUCCUCUCGUGGAUCCACCAUACCACGGGAGCUGCGGGGAGACUCCACAGUGGCCAUUUGAGUUGGUGCUCUUGCUGCUCUGCCCUCUUGAGGCCUGGUUCUUCAUCAUUUCCUGGCUUAGGCUCCCUGGUUGGGCACAGAGAGGAAGUCACUGUCUUUGGAUUUUCAGGACACCUGGAGUUUCCUUAGACUCCCUUUAUGCCACCUCACCUCUGCCCACUGCUACCUAGACUUUCCCUCCCAGGUGUUGUCACUGGCUGAACUUAUAGUUUGGAAUAAAACUAAGCAAUUUUAUUAAUUGUCA
Molecule: long non-coding RNA, 1289 nt
Filed under: Ursus maritimus (polar bear)
Lineage: Eukaryota; Metazoa; Chordata; Mammalia; Carnivora; Ursidae
Description: lncRNA (ENSUMAG00000011438.1)
Source: RNAcentral